This is a long non-coding RNA of Passer domesticus (house sparrow), 1356 nucleotides long. RefSeq lists it as uncharacterized. The transcript is spliced from 3 exons. NCBI's taxonomy places the organism in Eukaryota, Metazoa, Chordata, Aves, Passeriformes, Passeridae. The record is from RefSeq and is a predicted model, not a curated record.
UCAAUUGCCAUUCCAAAGGCAAAACCUUCCUCAAAAUGCCUUUGGAUGAAUCAGGGUUAUCACUGGCCUUGCCCUUUUUGGGGAACAGGGUCAGCUUGGGCCAGCACUUGGUGAGGCUGAUCCAGAAAUCCAACUCCAGUCCCUCUUGCUUAUUAGCAGCUCCAAAGAUCCAUCCUGGGAAGGCAGCAAAGCCCUUGGCAGUUUUCCCUGGACACCUCUUGGCCCAGGGGCUGAGGGCUGAGUGGUGCAGCCGUGGGCAGGCCAUUCCAGGUUCCCCCUGUGCACUGGGGAGGAGCAGGAGCCCUCGCUGGUGUCUGUGGAACUUCUGGGGACGUGCUAAAAGCAGCUUGGAAGGGGAUCAGUAUUUCCACUCGUUUUUCAGUGCCGAUCUUCCUGCCACACAAUGGGAGCCGGAAGCCUGACAGGGUUUGGAGGAGCCCCCGUGGGUCCCUCUGCAGCCCCCUGCCAAAUCCUGCUUGCAAGCUUCUGCCUCGGGCAGCCCUCAGUGAGCAAAACUCCCCUUUCCCAGGUUUUCCUGUGAAAACUGCAGCCUGCUGCACUCAGCACCAGGCUAAGAACAGAUGUAUGGACAGGAAGGGUACAAAAAAAAUUAAACCCCCUAAUUGUGGCCUGUUUGGAUGGACACUGACAUCGCAGGUGGUGCUGGGGAACACUUGCCUGCAUUUCCCAUCUAGUUUUCUUGGAGACCUGCCUGUCCACCCCUUUUCAGACCUGUGGGUUUAAUGCCUUGUGGUUCCCCUUUCCUGGAGGCUGGCGGAUGGAUUGCUGAGGUUAUCCUGGAGUUUAGCCCUGAGUGGGGCUCUGUUCCUCAGGGUGUGUGUGGGUCUGGUGCCACGGGCUGGGGAAGCUGUCAGAGCUCACCACUCAAACCCAGCCCCUAAAGCUGGAAGAGGAGCCAGUCUGGGGUGGGAGAGAUGUGGCCAAGCUCUUUUUCCCCACCCCUUGUCCCUGUAUCUAAUGGGUCCACCAGGACUGUUCCCAUUGUCGGUGCAGCUGGGAGGCAAAAGGAGGUGUCUGGGCCAAGCAGUGCUUCUUACUUCAUUUUCAACUGUUUGCAAAGCCCCUGAUCAGACGACCCAGAUGGUGCUAAAUGGCCAUGAAGGACCAUUAGACAGUGGGUCAUUGUCGUGCUCCUUGAGUUAGAUAAUUGUGAUGGGCCUGAACUAAUUAAUUUCUACCCAAAAAAGUAGCACUGAAUCAUGGUUUUUUGGCAACACUGGUGAGAAGGACUUGCAGUCAGUUUCCUUUGGAUUUAUCCAGCCUGUGCAAACAGGGAUCUCUGCUGGAGCCACACGCUUCCAUGGCCGAAAAGCAGGGGAGCAAGGAAAGCCACGC